CAACUACAAGCAUCUUAGUCAGGUCUGUCUUUUGUCCAGGAGCUCAAGAAGCGGGGAGUCAUCCUGCAGGAGGCAUUCAUGCAGAGAAGCCGCAGUUGCUAUUGGAGGAGGUGGGUGCAAGGCCAGGGAAUGGCAUCCUUGGGAGGUGGUGACCGAGACUAGAUUCCAGUCUUUGAAAUGCCUCCAGCCCUCCCACUUCUUCCUACCUCUGAACACCCUCUUCCUCUACCUCAAGCUCCCCACUCAACAUUGCAUGACUGUGUUUCUAUGUAUGAAUGGGGGAGUUAUGAAUGGAACCCAGAGAGAAGAAACAGUGACGUGACAAUUCAUGAAGGGCCAGCUCAAAACUGGGAGAGGGAGUACAAUAAGAGUGAACACAUCUGCCUUUUGCUGCAGAGUUCCAGCUUGCUGGAGGUGCAAGAGAAGAAUCAACCUCAAUCUGCACCAGGGUGGGAGGGGCAGACAGCCUCAAGGGAAGCCUCAACUUAUAUACUUUGGGUUCUCCACAUAGAUUCCUUUCUUUCUUUUAAUGUUGUGCUGGGGAUCAAACCCAGGGCUUUGUGCAUGUGAGGCAAGCACUCUACCAACUGGGCUAUAUCCCCAGCCCUCUCCACAUAGAUUUCUCAUUGGGGUACUGCAAGGUUCUCACUCCCCAAGAUGAUUUCUGGACAGCAGCAUCCCAGGAGUCUUCCUUAGACGCCAAGUUCUAAAAAGGCCCAGUCCCACCAUACCAUCAACAGCUCUCUCAACUGAUGACACAAGGUUACUGCUUCAUUAGAUGCUCCCUGUCCCUAAAGCCCUGGGUCUCAGAAGAGAGUCUUUCUGGAAACCACCUAUAGAAACUACUUUGUGGCCAGGAAUGAUGGUGCAUGGCUAUAAUCCUAGCAGCUCAGGAGGCUGAGAAAAGAGGAUGACAAGUUCAAGGUUAGCCUCAGCAACUUAGCCAGACCCUGUCUCAAAAUUUAAAAAAAAAUUCAAAGGGAGCCUCAGUAGUUAAGAACUCCUGAGUUAAAUUCCUAGUACAAAAAAGAAAGAAAAGGGAAAAAAAACUACUUUGUGAAUUGUCUCACAGAUUUCCCUCUGUAGACCUUUUGCUGUCUUCCUUGCUUUUGUUUUAUUGCCAAUGCUUUAGACUUACUGAUUUGCACUUAUUUUGGUGGCAUCCUCUUGGUGCUGAUCCUUUUUUGUCAUACCUCAGCUCUACGAGACAGCCACAGGUGCAAGAGGAGAAUCAACUUAGCAAAACCUGUCUCAAAAUAAAAAGGCCAAAGUCCUUUAGAAAAAUAGACUUACAAAAAAUAAAUUCUUCCAGGGCUGGGGUUGUGGCUCAGUGGUAGAGCGCUUGCCUACCAUGCAUGAGGCACUGGGUUCAAACCUUACUACCACAUAAAAAUAAAAUAUAGUGUCCAACUAAAAAAAAUAA
RNAcentral lists this long non-coding RNA (1423 nucleotides) under Marmota monax (woodchuck). The stretch from base 1317 to 1387 matches the Rfam family "tRNA". Lineage: Eukaryota; Metazoa; Chordata; Mammalia; Rodentia; Sciuridae. The record is from RNAcentral.